GACGAAGGAUGCAAGCGUUAUCCGGAUUCAUUGGGCUUAAAGGGAGCGUAGGUGGCCUUAUAAGUCAGUGGUGAAAUCUCUGGGCUUAACCCAGAAAUUGCCAUUGAUACUGUAGGGCUUGAGUAUAGUUGCCGUUGGCGGAAUAUGACAUGUAGUGGUGAAAUACAUAGAGAUGUCAUAGAACACCGAUUGCGAAGGCAGCUGACGAAACUAUAACUGACACUGAGGCUCGAAAGUGCGGGGAUCAAACAGG
RNAcentral lists this ribosomal RNA (253 nucleotides) under uncultured bacterium. Its description in RNAcentral is "partial 16S ribosomal RNA". It matches the Rfam family "Bacterial small subunit ribosomal RNA", at positions 524 to 776 of the family's 1533-position model. The record is from RNAcentral.